CCUACGGGAGGCAGCAGUGAGGAAUAUUGCACAAUGGGGGCAACCCCUGAUGCAGCGACGCCGCGUGGGUGAUGAAGGCUUUCGGGUCGUAAAACCCUUUUUUGUGUGACGAGUAAGGACGGUAGCACAAAGAAUAAGCGCUCGGCUAACUACGUGCAGCAGCCGCCGGUAAU
This 173-nucleotide ribosomal RNA is filed under the name uncultured bacterium. RNAcentral describes it as "partial 16S ribosomal RNA". It matches the Rfam family "Bacterial small subunit ribosomal RNA", at positions 338 to 524 of the family's 1533-position model. The record is from RNAcentral.